This 1479-nucleotide ribosomal RNA is filed under the name metagenome. RNAcentral's name for it is "bacterial LSU rRNA". It matches the Rfam family "Bacterial large subunit ribosomal RNA", at positions 1306 to 2913 of the family's 2925-position model. The record is from RNAcentral.
UUAGCGAUAAAGAGGGUGAGAGACCCUCUCGCCGUAAGUCCAAGGGUUCCUGCUUAAAGCUAAUCUGAGCAGGGUAAGCCGGCCCCUAAGGCGAGGCCGAAAGGCGUAGUCGAUGGGAACCACGUUAAUAUUCGUGGGCCAGGAGGAAGUGACGGAUCUCGACUGUAGUUUGCCCUUAUCGGAUUGGGUGGGCUGCUUAGAGGUUCCAGGAAAUAGCCCUCCAUCAGACCGUACCCUAAACCGACACAGGUGGACUGGUAGAGUAUACCAAGGCGCUUGAGAGAACCACAUUUAAGGAACUCGGCAAAAUGCCUCCGUAAGUUCGCGAGAAGGAGGCCCUGUUCUUACGCAAGUAGGGGCAGGGGGCACAAACUAGGGGGUGGCGACUGUUUACUUAAAACACAGGGCUGUGCGAAGCCGUAAGGCGACGUAUACAGUCUGACGCCUGCCCGGUGCUGGAAGAUUAAGAGGAGGGGUGCAAGCUCUGAAUUGAAGUCCCAGUAAACGGCGGCCGUAACUAUAACGGUCCUAAGGUAGCGAAAUUCCUUGUCGGGUAAGUUCCGACCUGCACGAAUGGCGUAACGAUCUCCCCGCUGUCUCAAAUGUGGACUCAGCGAAAUUGAACUGUGAGUCAAGAUGCACACUACCCGCGGUUAGACGGAAAGACCCCAUGCACCUUUACUCCAGCUUUGCACUGGUAUCAGGAUUGUGAUGUGCAGGAUAGGUGGUAGGCAUCGAAGCGGGGACGCCAGUCUUCGUGGAGCCUCCCUUGAGAUACCACCCUUCGCCAUCUUGAUAUCUAACCGCGGCCCGUUAUCCGGGUCCGGGACCCUGCAUGGUGGGGAGUUUGACUGGGGCGGUCGCCUCCCAAAUCGUAACGGAGGCGCGCGAAGGUAGGCUCAGACCGGUCGGAAAUCGGUCGUUGAGUGCAAUGGCAUAAGCCUGCCUGACUGCAAGACUGACAAGUCGAGCAGAGACGAAAGUCGGUCAUAGUGAUCCGGUGGUCCCAAGUGGGAGGGCCAUCGCUCAACGGAUAAAAGGUACGCUGGGGAUAACAGGCUGAUGAUGCCCAAGAGUCCAUAUCGACGGCAUCGUUUGGCACCUCGAUGUCGGCUCAUCUCAUCCUGGGGCUGGAGCAGGUCCCAAGGGUACGGCUGUUCGCCGUUUAAAGAGGUACGUGAGCUGGGUUUAGAACGUCGUGAGACAGUUCGGUCCCUAUCUGCCGUGGGUGUAGGAGACUUGAGAAGAGUUGCCCCUAGUACGAGAGGACCGGGGUGAACGGACCACUGGUGGACCAGUUAUCGUGCCAACGGUAGUGCUGGGUAGCUAUGUUCGGACAGGAUAACCGCUGAAGGCAUCUAAGCGGGAAGCCCCCUUCAAAACAAGGUCUCCCUUGAGAGCCGUGGAAGACCACCACGUCGAUAGGCCAGAGAUGUAAGAGCAGUAAUGCUUUCAGUUGACUGGUACUAAUUGCUCGAU